RNAcentral lists this long non-coding RNA (524 nucleotides) under Mytilus galloprovincialis (Mediterranean mussel). The record is from RNAcentral. Lineage: Eukaryota; Metazoa; Mollusca; Bivalvia; Mytilida; Mytilidae.
AAGUGAUGCCUAGUGUCCAAACAGUAUGUCAAGUUAUUACUUUCCCCAAGUGUAGACAUGUGUCUUAACACUAUGUCAAGCUUUUAGUUGUUCCAAGUGUAGACACAUUUCUAAACAUUAUAUCAAGCUAUAAUUGCCCAAAGAGUAGACACAUGUCUUAACAGUAUGUCGAGCUUUUAAUUGCCCGAGUUGUAGACAAGUGUCUAAACAGUAUGUCAAAGCUAAUAAUUAUCCCCAAGUGUAGAAACGUGUCUAAACAGUGUGUCAAGCUAUUAAUUUUCUUAGUUUUAGACACGUGUCAAAACAGUAUGUCAAAGCUAUUAAUCAUCCCAAAUGUAGACACGUGUCUAAACAGUAUGUCAAUCUAUAAAUGCCCAAAGUGUAGACAGGUGCCUAAACAGUAUGUUGAAGCUAUUAAAUGCCCCAAGUGUAGACACGUGUCUGAACAGUAUGUCAAGUUAUUAAUUGUCCGAGUUGUAGACAUGUGCCUUAACAGCAUGUCAAGCUAUAAUUUUCCCAAGUGU